CUAGUUUUAGUGCUAGUAGGCCUAUUAAAAGGUGCAGAUUAAUUCAGGUAGGACUGUGUGUAGACAUAUUUUAUUAUGUGUAUUAUGAGGUGGUCCGCGAAAAUUCUUGAUAAGAAAUAGUUGUCCACACACACAAAUCGUUUGAAAACCCCUGUAUUAGAAGGAGAAA
Molecule: long non-coding RNA, 169 nt
Organism: Etheostoma spectabile (orangethroat darter)
Lineage: Eukaryota; Metazoa; Chordata; Actinopteri; Perciformes; Percidae
Exons: 3
Source: RefSeq, a predicted model, not a curated record